AAGUCGUAACAAGGUUUCCGUAGGUGAACCUGCGGAAGGAUCAUUACCAAUAAUUUUAAUAUUCAAACCCAUGUGCACGGUGAAUGAAUUGUCUUGGUUUUUGGGGCGGGCUGUUCAACGGCGGUCCACCCCAACCAUUUUGUUUAACAACUGUUUAUUUGUCAUGGCAUCGAAAAUUGUCUUGUAAUAAUGACAACUUUUAACGGUGGAUCUCUUGGCUCGUGGAUCG
This 229-nucleotide unclassified non-coding RNA is filed under the name fungal sp. RNAcentral's name for it is "partial internal transcribed spacer region". The stretch from base 1 to 46 matches the Rfam family "Eukaryotic small subunit ribosomal RNA", at positions 1786 to 1831 of the family's 1831-position model. Lineage: Eukaryota; Fungi. The record is from RNAcentral.